Molecule: ribosomal RNA, 429 nt
Filed under: Chloroflexota bacterium
Lineage: Bacteria; Bacillati; Chloroflexota
Also listed under: 1 other name
Description: Chloroflexi bacterium partial 16S ribosomal RNA
Rfam family: Bacterial small subunit ribosomal RNA
Source: RNAcentral
UAGGGAAUCUUCGGCAAUGGACGAAAGUCUGACCGAGCAACGCCGCGUGAGUGAAGAAGGUUUUCGGAUCGUAAAACUCUGUUGUUAGAGAAGAACAAGGACGUUAGUAACUGAACGUCCCCUGACGGUAUCUAACCAGAAAGCCACGGCUAACUACGUGCCAGCAGCCGCGGUAAUACGUAGGUGGCAAGCGUUGUCCGGAUUUAUUGGGCGUAAAGCGAGCGCAGGCGGUUUCUUAAGUCUGAUGUGAAAGCCCCCGGCUCAACCGGGGAGGGUCAUUGGAAACUGAGAGACUUGAGUGCAGAAGAGGAGAGUGGAAUUCCAUGUGUAGCGGUGAAAUGCGUAGAUAUAUGGAGGAACACCAGUGGCGAAGGCGGCUCUCUGGUCUGUAACUGACGCUGAGGCUCGAAAGCGUGGGGAGCAAACAGG